RNAcentral lists this ribosomal RNA (1343 nucleotides) under uncultured bacterium. RNAcentral's name for it is "16S ribosomal RNA". It matches the Rfam family "Bacterial small subunit ribosomal RNA", at positions 28 to 1378 of the family's 1533-position model. The record is from RNAcentral.
GACGAACGCUGGCGGCGUGCUUAACACAUGCAAGUCGAACGGAAAGGCCCUGCUUUUGUGGGGUGCUCGAGUGGCGAACGGGUGAGUAACACGUGAGUAACCUGCCCUUGACUUUGGGAUAACUUCAGGAAACUGGGGCUAAUACCGGAUAGGAGCUCCUGCUGCAUGGUGGGGGUUGGAAAGUUUCGGCGGUUGGGGAUGGACUCGCGGCUUAUCAGCUUGUUGGUGGGGUAGUGGCUUACCAAGGCUUUGACGGGUAGCCGGCCUGAGAGGGUGACCGGCCACAUUGGGACUGAGAUACGGCCCAGACUCCUACGGGAGGCAGCAGUGGGGAAUAUUGCACAAUGGGCGGAAGCCUGAUGCAGCAACGCCGCGUGCGGGAUGACGGCCUUCGGGUUGUAAACCGCUUUCGCCUGUGACGAAGCGUGAGUGACGGUAAUGGGUAAAGAAGCACCGGCUAACUACGUGCCAGCAGCCGCGGUGAUACGUAGGGUGCGAGCGUUGUCCGGAUUUAUUGGGCGUAAAGGGCUCGUAGGUGGUUGAUCGCGUCGGAAGUGUAAUCUUGGGGCUUAACCCUGAGCGUGCUUUCGAUACGGGUUGACUUGAGGAAGGUAGGGGAGAAUGGAAUUCCUGGCGGAGCGGUGGAAUGCGCAGAUAUCAGGAGGAACACCAGUGGCGAAGGCGGUUCUCUGGGCCUUUCCUGACGCUGAGGAGCGAAAGCGUGGGGAGCGAACAGGCUUAGAUACCCUGGUAGUCCACGCUGUAAACGGUGGGUACUAGGUGUGGGGUCCAUUCCACGGGUUCCGUGCCGUAGCUAACGCUUUAAGUACCCCGCCUGGGGAGUACGGCCGCAAGGCUAAAACUCAAAGGAAUUGACGGGGCCCCGCACAAGCGGCGGAGCAUGCGGAUUAAUUCGAUGCAACGCGUAGAACCUUACCUGGGUUUGACAUGGAUCGGGAGCGCUCAGAGAUGGGUGUGCCUCUUUUGGGGUCGGUUCACAGGUGGUGCAUGGCUGUCGUCAGCUCGUGUCGUGAGAUGUUGGGUUAAGUCCCGCAACGAGCGCAACCCUUGUUCACUGUUGCCAGCACGUUAUGGUGGGGACUCAGUGGAGACCGCCGGGGUCAACUCGGAGGAAGGUGGGGAUGACGUCAAGUCAUCAUGCCCCUUAUGUCCAGGGCUUCACGCAUGCUACAAUGGCUGGUACAGAGAGUGGCGAGCCUGUGAGGGUGAGCGAAUCUCGGAAAGCCGGUCUCAGUUCGGAUUGGGGUCUGCAACUCGACCUCAUGAAGUCGGAGUCGCUAGUAAUCGCAGAUCAGCAACGCUGCGGUGAAUACGUUCCCGGG